UACAGAGGGUGCGAGCGUUAAUCGGAAUUACUGGGCGUAAAGCGCGCGUAGAUGGUUUUUGUAAGUCAGAUGUGAAAUCCCUGGGCUCAACCUGGGAACUGCAUUUGAGACUGCAUGGCUAGAGUAUGGAAGAGGGAAGUGGAAUUUCCGGUGUAGCGGUGAAAUGCGUAGAUAUCGGAAGGAACACCAGUGGCGAAAGCGACUUCCUGGUCCAAUACUGACGCUGAGUGAGCGAAAGCCAGGGGAGCAAACGGG
Molecule: ribosomal RNA, 255 nt
Filed under: uncultured bacterium
Lineage: Bacteria
Description: partial 16S ribosomal RNA
Rfam family: Bacterial small subunit ribosomal RNA
Source: RNAcentral